CAAGACAACUUUACGGAGUUGACGAUUGACGGAGCGAAGCGACGUCAAAGCGUUCAUUAAAGUCGAGUUGGCUUAGGGAUACGUUCGUUGGGUAGGGGAGCGUUCUGUAAGCCUGUGAAGGUGUGUCGUGAGGCAUGCUGGAGGUAUCAGAAGUGCGAAUGCUGACAUAAGUAACGAUAAAGCGGGUGAAAAGCCCGCUCGCCGGAAGACCAAGGGUUCCUGUCCAACGUUAAUCGGGGCAGGGUGAGUCGACCCCUAAGGCGAGGCCGAAAGGCGUAGUCGAUGGGAAACGGGUUAAUAUUCCCGUACUUGGUGUUACUGCGAAGGGGGGACGGAGAAGGCUAUGUUGGCCGGGCGACGGUUGUCCCGGUUUAAGCGUGUAGGUGUGUGUUCCAGGUAAAUCCGGUUCACUUUAACACUGAGGCGUGACGACGAGGCACUACGGUGCUGAAGCAACAAAUGCCCUGCUUCCA
Molecule: ribosomal RNA, 473 nt
Filed under: Salmonella enterica subsp. enterica
Lineage: Bacteria; Pseudomonadati; Pseudomonadota; Gammaproteobacteria; Enterobacterales; Enterobacteriaceae
Description: partial 23S ribosomal RNA
Rfam family: Bacterial large subunit ribosomal RNA
Source: RNAcentral